GCGGCCGGGGGACUGCGGGGCCUAAGGACCUGAGCCCGGCGGCGCGUGGCAGCGGUUUCUGAGCCCGCGCUGCAGGCUCGGGCCUCGGGCCUCGGGCCUCGGCCCGCUGCCGGGCUCCAGCUCGCGCCUCCUGCGGCCGGCUCGCGGGCCCGAGCCUGUGGCUCAAGGAGGAGCCGCUGUUGACGCUGCUCUGCCCUGUGAGGCCUCGGACAAAAUGGCCCUGCAGGGGUGGCUGUCUCCGAACACAACGGCCCUUCCCGGGGACCAACUCCAAAGUGACAGCCCUUCCCCGGGAGCCUAUUUAAUACCGAAUGUGCCGCAUAUUCCACAAUAAUACAGUUCCAUCGCCGCUGGUAAAAAGCAGAAAUGUCUCCAAUGGAUAGAUAGGGUGGACGCUUGUCCGCGAAUGUUACAGCAUAGCUUUUGAGAUCCCAGACUUGAGACUGAAGAAGCUGGCUACUUGGAAGCGUCUAUGGUGCAGACCAAGAAAGACCCAAGAAAAUAUUCCUCUCUGUAGCUGAAGGACCAGUAAAGGGGCAGGAUAGCAGACAGAAAACAUUUAGACAAUAAAUGUUCUACUCCAGACAAAAACUA
Molecule: long non-coding RNA, 594 nt
Organism: Capra hircus (goat)
Lineage: Eukaryota; Metazoa; Chordata; Mammalia; Artiodactyla; Bovidae
Exons: 2
Source: RefSeq, a predicted model, not a curated record